UGCCCUUAGGACGAGAAUAACCCCGGGAAACUGGGGCUAAUGCUCGAUAGGUGAAGAACUCUGGAAUGAGUCUUCACUUAAAAGAGUCUGCGUUAUGCUCGUAGAUUUCGCUUAAGGAUGGGGCCGCGACCGAUCAGGUUGUUGGUGAGGUAAUGGCUCACCAAGCCUUUUACCGGUGCGGGCCGUGAGAGCGGGAGCCCGGAGAUGGGCACUGAGACAAGGGCCCAGGCCCUACGGGGCGCAGCAGUCGCGAAAACUUUGCAAUACACGAAAGUGUGACAGGGCUAUCCCGAGUGCCAUCCGCUGAGGAAGGCUCUUACCCAGUCUAGAACGCUGGGGGAAUAAGGAGAGGGCAAGUCUGGUGUCAGCCGCCGCGGUAAUACCAGCUCUCCGAGUGGUGUGGAUGUUUAUUGGGCCUAAAGCAUCCGUAGCUGGCUAGGUAAGUCCCUUGUUAAAUCCACCGAAUUAAUCGUUGGAUCGCGGGGGAUACUGCUUGGCUAGGGGACGAGAGAGGCAGACGGUAUUUCCGGGGUAGGGGUGAAAUCCUAUAAUCCCGGGAAGACCACCAGUGGCGAAGGCUGUCUGCUAGAACGCGCCCGACGGUGAGGGAUGAAAGCUGGGGGAGCGAACCGGAUUAGAUACCCGGGUAGUCCCAGCUGUAAACGAUGCAGGCUAGGUGUUUGGACGGCCACGUGCCGUUCUAGUGCCGCAGGGAAGCUGUUAAGCCUGCCGCCUGGGGAGUACGAUCGCAAGAUUGAAACUUAAAGGAAUCGGCGGGGGAGCACCACAAGGGGUGAAGCUUGCGGUUUAAUUGGAGUCAACGCCGGA
This 828-nucleotide ribosomal RNA is filed under the name uncultured archaeon. RNAcentral describes it as "bacterial SSU rRNA". It matches the Rfam family "Archaeal small subunit ribosomal RNA", at positions 110 to 922 of the family's 1478-position model. The record is from RNAcentral.